UAGGGCUAAGUCGUAACAAGGUAGCCGUACCGGAAGGUGCGGCUGGAUCACCUCCUUUCUGGAGCU
Molecule: ribosomal RNA, 66 nt
Rfam family: Bacterial small subunit ribosomal RNA (bases 1-58)